AUUGAACGCUGGCGGCAUGCCUUACACAAGCGAGUCGAACGGUAACGGGCCUUCGGGUGCCGACGAGUGGCGAACGGGUGAGUAAUACAUCGGAACGUGCCCGAUCGUGGGGGAUAACGAGGCGAAAGCUUUGCUAAUACCGCAUACGAUCUACGGAUGAAAGCAGGGGACCGCAAGGCCUUGCGCGGACGGAGCGGCCGAUGGCAGAUUAGGUAGUUGGUGGGAUAAAAGCUUACCAAGCCGACGAUCUGUAGCUGGUCUGAGAGGAUGAUCAGCCACACUGGGACUGAGACACGGCCCAGACUCCUACGGGAGGCAGCAGUGGGGAAUUUUGGACAAUGGGCGCAAGCCUGAUCCAGCCAUGCCGCGUGCAGGAUGAAGGCCUUCGGGUUGUAAACUGCUUUUGUACGGAACGAAAAGCCUUCUUUUAAUACAGGAGGGUCAUGACGGUACCGUAAGAAUAAGCACCGGCUAACUACGUG
Molecule: ribosomal RNA, 482 nt
Filed under: uncultured bacterium
Lineage: Bacteria
Description: partial 16S ribosomal RNA
Rfam family: Bacterial small subunit ribosomal RNA
Source: RNAcentral